RNAcentral lists this ribosomal RNA (484 nucleotides) under uncultured bacterium. Its description in RNAcentral is "partial 16S ribosomal RNA". It matches the Rfam family "Bacterial small subunit ribosomal RNA", at positions 30 to 507 of the family's 1533-position model. The record is from RNAcentral.
AUUGAACGCUGGCGGCAGGCCUAACACAUGCAAGUCGAGCGGAUGAAGGGAGCUUGCUCCUGGAUUCAGCGGCGGACGGGUGAGUAAUGCCUAGGAAUCUGCCUGGUAGUGGGGGAUAACGUCCGGAAACGGGCGCUAAUACCGCAUAAGUCCUGAGGGAGAAAGUGGGGGAGCUUCGGACCUCACGCUAUCAGAUGAGCCUAGGUCGGAUUGGCUAGUUGGUGGGGUAAAGGCCUACCUAACCGACGAUCCGUAACUGGUCUGAGAGGAUGGUCAGUCACACUGGAACUGAGACACGGUCCAGACUCCUACGGGAGGCAGCAGUGGGGAAUAUUGGACAGAGGGCGAAAGCCUGAUCCAGCCAUGCCGCGUGUGUGAAGAAGGUCUUCGGAUUGUAAAGCACUUUAAGUUGGGAGGAAGGGCAGUAAGUUAAUACCUUGCUGUUUUGACGGUACCAACAGAAUAAGCACCGGCUAACUUCGUG